Molecule: ribosomal RNA, 253 nt
Filed under: uncultured bacterium
Lineage: Bacteria
Description: partial 16S ribosomal RNA
Rfam family: Bacterial small subunit ribosomal RNA
Source: RNAcentral
UACGGGGGGAGCAAGCGUUGCUCGGAUUUACUGGGCGUAAAGGGCGCGUAGGCGGCGCAACAAGUCACUUGUGAAAUCUCCGGGCUUAACUCGGAAAGGUCAAGUGAUACUGUUGUGCUAGAGUGCGGAAGGGGCAACUGGAAUUCUCGGUGUAGCGGUGAAAUGCGUAGAUAUCGAGAGGAACACCUGCGGCGAAGGCGGGUUGCUGGGCCGACACUGACGCUGAUGCGCGAAAGCCAGGGGAGCAAACAGG